AGAUUGAACGCUGGCGGAAUGCUUUACACAUGCAAGUCGAACGGCAGCACGGGGGUAACCCUGGUGGCGAGUGGCGAACGGGUGAGUAAUACAUCGGAACGUGCCCAGUCGUGGGGGAUAACGUAGCGAAAGCUACGCUAAUACCGCAUACGAACUCUGGUUGAAAGCGGGGGACUCGCAAGAGCCUCGCGCGAUUGGAGCGGCCGAUGGCAGAUUAGGUAGUUGGUGGUAAAGGCUCACCAAGCCUGCGAUCUGUAGCUGGUCUGAGAGGACGACCAGCCACACUGGGACUGANACACGGCCCAGACUCCUACGGGA
This 318-nucleotide ribosomal RNA is filed under the name uncultured soil bacterium. Its description in RNAcentral is "bacterial SSU rRNA". It matches the Rfam family "Bacterial small subunit ribosomal RNA", at positions 26 to 346 of the family's 1533-position model. The record is from RNAcentral.